This 718-nucleotide long non-coding RNA is filed under the name Carica papaya (papaya). Its description in RNAcentral is "long non-coding RNA (CPAP_LNC007175)". The record is from RNAcentral. Lineage: Eukaryota; Viridiplantae; Streptophyta; Magnoliopsida; Brassicales; Caricaceae.
AAAAUUUUCAAACCCUAAAACAACAAAAAAGCAGAGUAGAAAGACAGCCAAAUCAGAGGACGAGAGGAAGUCUGCCGAUCUGGACGCAUCUGGUGCAGAUCCGCCUCGCCGUGCCGCUGCCGAGAUCCGCGCAAUCUGGCCGCAUCUGGUGCAGGGAUGGACAGACGCACACAGGCGUCUCGCUGAUCUGGUGGCAUCUGGGGCAGAUCCGCCUCGCCGUGCCACUGGCGAGAUCCGCGCACAGGGCUGCUGGCUGCAACUCACCAGCCUUCCGCGUCGUGCUCACUCGCGCACCAGUCAUCUAUGUCGCACAGACGCACAACCUUCUUCCGCGGUGCGCAGAGUCGCGCGCGGGAAGCUUUUCUGGCCGCAACGUUAUCUGGCUGAGCCAUUUGUGAACCGAGUUUGAGCCGUUUGAAGCCGUUUUUCGAGUCGAGUUUGAACCGUUUGAAGCCGAUUUUGAGCUGUUUUUAAACUGAGUUGGAACCGUUUUUGGAUCAAAUUCGAGCCGUUUUGAAACAGAUCAUAGCCGUUGUUGAGUUGAACUCGAGACGAGCCACUACCUCACAAAUUUAGUUCUAAUUUGCAGCACUUCUUUUGGCAUCCCUUGGCAAUAAUAAAAUGUUGGAUGACUUUUUAAAUUUUAAUUUGCAAAGUUGAAUAUGUGCAAUAUCGAAUAUUAUAUUUUAUUAUUUAAUUAUUUAAUAUUAUAUAAUUA